GUCUAGAGCCUUCCGCCGCAGCAACAGUCUAUAGCCACUUCUUUAAGCUGCGCGUGCUUCUUACACACGAAAACCAUUAAGCAUCUGUUGUUUUUUUCUUCCCUUUUUUUUUUUUUUUCAAAAUGAGGGAAUGGGCAUUUUCUGUGUUGGGAUGGGACUUGUAGCUUUGACUGCUCCUUCCGGGCAUCUCAGGGACUUCGCUGCUCUUUUUCCUAGGAACGCCCCAGGUUUCCUGUGGGAAGACUCUCGGGGCCGCGGAUUCCUCGGGCCGCCCGCCAGCCGGCGCCCGCCAGUGCCUCCGCGGUCCACGCGAGCCUGCUCGACAUGAGGCGGAGCGUGGCCGAGCUCAGGCUCCAGCUGCGGCAGAUGCGACAGCUCCAGGUACGGCCCGGCGUUCCCGUGGGCGGUGUCCUCUGCCACGGUCUCCUCCCCACCCGCCGCCUCCCGCUCCCCGGCCGCACAGCAUCUUGCCGGUGGCCUUCUCUGCAGCAUCCUUUGGUACGGAUGACUGAGGGCCAGGGUGCAGGCGCGUGCCACCCUGGGCUCCUCCUCACACACAUCAUCUUGGUCUAGAGCCUUCCGCCGCAGCAACAGUCUAUAGCCACUUCUUUAAGCUGCGCGUGCUUCUUACACACGAAAACCAUUAAGCAUCUGUUGUUUUUUUCUUCCCUUUUUUUUUUUUUUUCAAAAUGAGGGAAUGGGCAUUUUCUGUGUUGGGAUGGGACUUGUAGCUUUGACUGCUCCUUCCGGGCAUCUCAGGGACUUCGCUGCUCUUUUUCCUAGGAACGCCCCAGGUUUCCUGUGGGAAGACUCUCGGGGCCGCGGAUUCCUCGGGCCGCCCGCCAGCCGGCGCCCGCCAGUGCCUCCGCGGUCCACGCGAGCCUGCUCGACAUGAGGCGGAGCGUGGCCGAGCUCAGGCUCCAGCUGCGGCAGAUGCGACAGCUCCAGCUGCAGAACCAGGAGCUGCUGAAGGCAAUGAUGAGGAAAGCUGAGCAGGAAAUCAGCAGCAAGGUGAUCGAGACGAUGAAGAGGCUGGAGGACCCUGUGCAGCGCCAGCGGUCCUGGUGGAGCAGGACAGGCAGAAGUACCUGCACGAAGAGGAGAAGAUCGUCCGCAAGCUGUGGUGAGUCUGGCCCUUGCAGUCGGUCCCUGGAUGCGGCAUAGCUGUGCAGCCUGAAAGGCAAGCCUGUCUUGGCCAAGGAGGCGGCCCUUGCUAGACGGUGUUCUCAGACUCUUUCUUUACUGAGCACCUAGUUCUGGCUGGUUCUGGAUAUCCGUGGACACUCGACUAGUGCCCUCCAUCCGAGCUCAGGAAAUUGAACAGUCGUCAGGUAACUGAGCUUAUUAGUCUCUUUGGAAGCAUCGACUGUUCUGUAGGGCUUGGCAACCCAUCAAAUUAAAAGGAGCCAGUGGCACAACCCAAUGAUAAAUGGGAAGUCUGAAUUUAAUCUCAAUAAAUUAAAACUAAUAGCCAAAAUAACAAAGCGCUAAAAUUAUCCUCCUAUUAUUCAACUGUAGUUAAAAUCACAAAGAAGAAUUUCAGUGUAAAGUAUGUCUGAUGCACAAUGAAAGAUGCUGCCUUGAAUGCAACCCAUCUUCUGUGAGGUUCUUAUUGAAAACAUCUAUCAAGUCGCACUACUGAAAUAAGCAGAGUUUUAUUACGCCCCAGCCACCGGGCAGGCCCAUCUGUUAUGUUAAUGUAUGUUUUGUUAUGCAGUGAAGAUUCAUCAUAGAACAGUUUCACCUUUUAGUAUAAUGAAGAGUCAUUUGUGUGGGUUCUUCUAGUGUUGGUAGUUCUCCUGUUUGUGUUUUUUGAGUUUCACAAAAUUAAAAUGGCUUUGUGAAACUCAAAUAUUUAAAGUAUUAAAUAUUUAAAAUACUUUAAAAUCUUUUAGUUUUAUUACAAAACACUGGCAUAUCUCCCAUGUUGUAGAGUGCAUCCUUGUAGCCUGUCUUACACUCAGUGGUUUGAACCUCCUGUUCUCCCACUAGAAUCCCUGUGCUGCCCCACUGAUAAGCACCAGUUUGUUCUCUGUAUCUCUUGAGACCACUGUUUUUUGUUAUAUUCACUAGUUUGUGAAUUUUUAGAUUUCACAUAUAAAUGAUAAGCAUACAGUAUGUUUCUGAUUUGUUGUACUUAGCAUUAUGCCCUCCACACCCACAUGUAAAUGCUGCAAAUAGCAAAAUUCCAUUCUUUUUGUGGCUGAGUAGUAUUCCAUUGUAGAUGGGUAAUUCUCUUGUUUUUGAAAGCAUAAACGUCCCAAAAUGGGAUUGUAAGGAGCAACUUUCAAAUUCUUUCCAUGACUAUAAUCACCAGAAGCUUACAGGAUGGGGAGUGUUAUCCUCAUUGACCUCUUUGAUAUUUGAGCUGUAGCUCAUGUCAAAUCAGAUGCCAACCCAGUGUGCCUGAUUAAAAUUAGAAUACCUUCUCAGUGGUAGUCUAGAGAGUCAGAUAAUAAAUUUGACUACUGUUCAUCAGCAUCUCAAAAAUAGACUCCAAAUUUGUAUUUAGUCCCUGCACUUACAGACAAUCACCCGCCGUGAGGUAGUAAAGCUGUUAUUUGUCUGAAAUGGGUCUGUGACAGCCAGCUGUCUACAACUAGGUCUCAAGGUUCUUCUUGAAAAGUUCUUUUUAAAAAUAUAUAGCCUUAAUGUUUUUAUAGAAUUGCCAGUUACAUUUUUCUUCCAGUUUUAUUGAGAUGUAAUUGACAUGCAGCCCCAUAUAGUUUAAGGUGGACAGCAUAAUUAUUUGACUUCCACACAUCGUGAAAUUAUUGCCACAGUAAGUUUAGUGAAUAUCAUCUCCUAUAGAUACAAAAUUAAAGAAAUACAAAAACUUUUUUGCUUCUGAUGACAACUCUUAGGAUUUACUCUCGUAACAAAUUUCAUAAGUAACAUAUAGCAAUGUUAAUUAUCUUUAUAGUGUUAUUUAUAGUGUUAAUUUAUUUAUAGUGUUUAUAUAGUGUUAUUUAUUUAUAGUGUUGAUUAUAUUUAUAGCCCUUAUACAAGGACUUCUAGUCCUCAUAACUGGAAGUCUGUCGACUUGCUGCCUGCCCCACACUGAAGGUUCUGGCACUGGCAUUGCUGUCCACUUGCUGCCACCUAGUGGUUCUUCAAAUCAAAGCUCUUUUCCUGUUUCUCUACUAGCAGGGUUUCUA
Bos grunniens (domestic yak) is the source of this 3158-nucleotide long non-coding RNA. The record is from Ensembl. Lineage: Eukaryota; Metazoa; Chordata; Mammalia; Artiodactyla; Bovidae.